GUGAGGGUGAAUGGAUGCAGCAUCUGUCUGUCAUCCCAUUGACUGUCAGAAUUAAUUUGGUUGAUCUAGCUGGCUAGACUGAGGACUCCUUCCUUCCUCACUGUUUCUGGGCAUCCUUUUUGACUAGGAUGUGCACUGGGGAAGAGAACUGCCUUCCCCAAUAGACGUGGGCCAUUCUUGGGUUGAGGGUAUAUGAGUAGUUAUGCUCCCCUAUUAGAAACCUGAAAUAAGUUCUCUAGAAAUCUUAUUUUUUCUGAAGAUGUGCCUUCAUGUUACCUAAUAGAUA
This 286-nucleotide small nuclear RNA is filed under the name Sorex araneus (European shrew). RNAcentral's name for it is "7SK RNA (ENSSARG00000019947.1)". It matches the Rfam family "7SK RNA", at positions 1 to 294 of the family's 331-position model. Rfam says of the family: 7SK was discovered as an abundant small nuclear RNA in the mid-70s but a possible function has only recently been suggested. Two independent studies have found that 7SK RNA binds the CDK9/cyclin T complex (known as elongation factor P-TEFb). The record is from RNAcentral. Lineage: Eukaryota; Metazoa; Chordata; Mammalia; Eulipotyphla; Soricidae.